AAACUGCAGCAAGAAGUCCCCUUCUCCCACCCUCCCUCCGCACACGACAGGCGAGGCACACCUGGAACGUGAGGCAGAGAGGGGUUUGCUUCCCUGGGAACCAGAAACCUCUUAAAAAUACCUGCCCCAUAAGUCAGUUUGGGUCUGUUGCCCUCCUAGUGCAUCCCAUGGUGCUCCUGCCCUGGUUUUAUUCACCAGGGAAGUAAAUCGGGACAGGAGAUGUGCAGCUCCCUCCAGCAAUACGUGCAAAAGGAUCUGCAAAGCCACCAAGAGAGACGACUGUGAGAUGAAGAGGAUGAGGAAGAAAUUGCCCCAUGAGCACUUUAUUCCACCUUUGUCCAGUAAAGGAUUUUCACAGAGUUGCUGCUGAGCUCCCGGCCACUGUCCCAUCCCACUGUCGUGGGAUACGCUGGGCACGAAUGGAUCCUGCUUCUGAACUUCCACCAAAGUCCCUCAAAAUCUCCUCUUGGCUUCCAUAUUCCUCACUUGACUUUCAUGUUCUGGUGCUCAGCUUCCAAGAGAGCACUUCUGUCAGUCAUGGGAACACUUAUCUGAGCUCAUUAAAGCACUUAAUUAA
Molecule: long non-coding RNA, 577 nt
Organism: Corapipo altera (White-ruffed manakin)
Lineage: Eukaryota; Metazoa; Chordata; Aves; Passeriformes; Pipridae
Exons: 2
Source: RefSeq, a predicted model, not a curated record